GACUACAGAAGGGUAUGCACCGUGGGCAUAUUGCAUUCAUUUGCUUCUGUCUAUUUUCGCUCAUUGUUUUCUGAUAGGGUUUGCCCCGGAUUGGGAUGUUUCUGAAGUAGGAGGUGUGAAUUUUAUUUAGACGUCCUAGAAUGCACAAGAAAUCCGAAACCAGGAAAAAGACAGUCAAGGAUUCUGAUAUGCCAAAGUGACCACCUUCUCCGUACUUCAUCUUCAUGUAAGCCCUGACGACUGACGCUUGUCUUCUAGAUCUCCUCUAUUCUGGAAGUGGUGUUUGAUGAUCUCGAUUUCUAGUUUUAAAGGAGUGUACUCACAUUUCUACCUUUUUUUUUAAUUGGUUGCAGGGAGACCUUCCGGUCUCUGAGAAAAGAAGGGGUUACUGCGGGAAAUUUUCGAAGGCCCCUUCACUCCUUUGAAGCACCUAAUUCAAAUCUGGGUCUUCGCGCUGAGUACGGGAUGUGUUUGUUGUCGUUUUCGCAUGUAGCAUCUUUUGCUUAUGAUGCGCCUCUUCAGUGGAUAAACCAGAGUUCAAUUCAAGCUCUGUAGCAAGAACAGUGAUGUUGAUAACUUGAUCAAAAUUUCAGAGCGCUAAAAGCGGUGCCGAGAGGUGGCCCAACAUGUCAGACGAGGUCAGUGGUGUUACUCGUAUUAGAAAUCGUAUCGAACCUGAAGCGAAUCAUUUGUGGACUAUCUGUCGACAGGUUUGCCUUGCUCGUUCUUUCCGAUAUUGUGGAGAAGAAAGCACCUUUCGUUGCUGAGGUCGCAGCAAGGAAAGGCAAGUAUGAGCUAGCGAUGACAGCCUGCAAAGUAUGCACAAAUUAGACACUACCUUCCCAGCUUUGAGAAUAUUGUUAAACUCAAAUUAUCCAAAGUCGAAUUAUGCAUUUUCUGUUCUCUGAUGUUUUUUAAUUCUCAAUUUUCUGAUCUAUUUCUGUUGUACGUGGUUCUUUUUUUUAUAUUUUAUUUUGGGUUUCUCGUUUUGUAACAGAAGUUUGAAAGUCAGUUUGGAAACUCCAAUUCUGUCAAACUCAUUUUUAUAAUGUGAUUAGCACUUGGCAUGGCUGGAUACUCACAACGGUUAUCAUGUGCCUCAUUCCAGAAUAGCAAAGCCUUAGAGUCCUCUGCGUAGCUUACGCACCAGACGAAGUCCUCCAGCCUAAAAUGACGUUACGAUUCCCGUCUUAUCGAAAACCGAAGACAAAUUUAACGCAUGUACAUCUGUGCGCCAAGAAUCAUGGUUAUGCGACUGUGAUGCAAUCAUAGAUUUGUUUCUUCCAGUUAAUUAUAGCGUAGGAGCAGAAUUGGAGAUUUUCCACUUUCGGACGUUCACAAUGCACACUGCAUAUGUUAGCUGUGUCUUUUGGGCAUUAUUUAUGUUCUAAGGGAGGAUUUGAUGGUUAAUGUGCAGCAUAGCAUUCGUGUAAUGAUGAAGUUAUCGAUUUAAUCCCAUGUAUCGAAAGCGAAGCUUGGGGUCGGAAUUGUGUGCAAGUGUGCAUAGAGUAAUGAGGUGGUUUGGGACCAGGGCAGGGAAUGACGACGCGUGCUAACCGUGUCAUGGCAAAUACAUUGGAUGUCACAUAGAUUGCGAUUGGGACUGUCUGUGUACACCGCUGUGAUGGUAGACGGAAUGUGAAGUGAUGUACAAGUUGGUGCUGCGGUGUUCAUCAUGCCCAGUUGCUUCUUUUUUAUGACUUUCUCUUACAGUGCAAACCGCUCACCCUGCAAGUUCCCA
This 1741-nucleotide long non-coding RNA is filed under the name Physcomitrium patens. RNAcentral describes it as "long non-coding RNA (PPAT_LNC002079)". Lineage: Eukaryota; Viridiplantae; Streptophyta; Bryopsida; Funariales; Funariaceae. The record is from RNAcentral.